This 404-nucleotide ribosomal RNA is filed under the name uncultured prokaryote. RNAcentral's name for it is "bacterial SSU rRNA". It matches the Rfam family "Bacterial small subunit ribosomal RNA", at positions 355 to 774 of the family's 1533-position model. The record is from RNAcentral.
UGGGGAAUAUUGGGCAAUGGGCGAAAGCCUGACCCAGCAACGCCGCGUGAGGGAAGAAGGUUUUCGGAUUGUAAACCUCUGUCGCAGGAGACGAAAGAAAUGGCGGUAUUCUGUGAGGAAGCCCCGGCUAACUACGUGCCAGCAGCCGCGGUAAUACGUAGGGGGCAAGCGUUAUCCGGAUUCAUUGGGCGUAAAGAGCGCGUAGGCGGACGUUUAAGCAGAAUCUCUAAUCUGAGGGCUCAACCCCCAGCCGGAUUCUGAACUGGAUGUCUCGAGUUUGGUAGAGGAAGAUGGAAUUCCCGGUGUAGCGGUGGAAUGCGCAGAUAUCGGGAAGAACACCGAUGGCGAAGGCAGUCUUCUGGGCCAUAACUGACGCUGAGACGCGAAAGCGUGGGGAGCAAACA